GUUUUGGUAACGUACAGGACAUAUUAUUCGGGAAAGCAAAAUGGCCGACAGUUUAAGAGGUAAACAAGACGCUGAUAACAUUAAAUGUGGGAUUUGCUUUUCGGCUUUCACCAAACCUCUUCUAUUGGGCUGCUUUCAUAUAAUGUGUACACCAUGUAUAACAAAGUUAGCUAAAGGUAAAUGUUCAUUGACUUGUCCUGUAUGUAGAGCUGUUCAUUUAGUUAAAGUUGAUGGUGUCGAAGAAUUAACCUUUAAAAUAUCCAUACAUUCAUGACCGAAUUUUGUGUUUUCUGCAUUGUUUGUUAGAUUUCAGAGUAUGCUGAAUUCGAAUAUUUCUGGGAAUAUUUUUACCGAAGACGAUGACAUUUACCAUGUAUUUUAUAUAAAACUAUAUGUGUAUGUGAUAAUAAUUUCAUUACCUGCAGAAGAAAUGAAAGAAGUAAUGGCUCCCUUUUGUUUUCGGACAUUUAUUUUCUGAUGUUUCGUUUAUGUAUACGCUGUGAAAAGUAAAAUCACAAAAAUACUGAAAUGAGAGGAAGAUCUAAUCGAAAAGUCUAUAAUCACAUGGCAAAAUCAUAUGACAAUACACAUCAACAACGAAUGGACAAGAACUUAAAUGUUCUAUGUACUAGCCGAUUUACUUUCGCCAAUACACAUUGUUGAGAUUAAACGAUAGGGAAUCUUAUAUGAUUGAUGUUAGUGAAAAUUAUCUCAUUGCAUGUUAACUUUCCUACCCGAAAAAAAAUAUAUUCAAAUUAUUAAGCAGUCACGAUAGUGCGGUUCAUCCGGCCUUUUUCGUGACUAUUUUAUACCAAGAAAUAUUGAUUCUACGAAUGCCAAUUUUCAUGAUUUUAAAAUUGUAUAUAAAUUUGCAAUAUAGAGACUUAUUGCCGUUGACCGUGCAUACUAUUUCCAGUUUAAUUUCUCUGAUUAUGAAAAACUUGCUGCUCGUCUUCAUUCGGGGUAUAAUCCUACAAACAUUCAUCAGUGUUUCCUAACAAUAGUGUCAUAUUCGAGUCAUCACAAAUAGAUCCUGCUGAUGAACCAAGGAUGAUCACCGCUUUUAAUUUUGUUUCUUUGUCGGACAGCGAAGGCAGUUCUGUUUCAAAUCGAAAUUAAGAAAUGAAAGAUAUUUUGCAAAGAAACAGUUAAAUGGGAAAUGCGAUAUCUAAAUCGACGAAGUGCAAUCAAGACCAAAGGCAUGUAUUGAAAUCAGGAUCACCGCCAAUGCUUCAAUUAAAUUUUGUUUGAGAAAUGUAUCUCAUGACUUCGCAACACGAAAUUUAAAACACUAUAUCAAUUUAGUUCUGGCACCGCUAAAACUUUCUGAAUAAGUAUUUUUUUUUAUCUUAUUCAUUAAUGUUAACAUAAUAACAAAUUUUUUUCACGAG
This 1391-nucleotide long non-coding RNA is filed under the name Mytilus galloprovincialis (Mediterranean mussel). The record is from RNAcentral. Lineage: Eukaryota; Metazoa; Mollusca; Bivalvia; Mytilida; Mytilidae.